This 88-nucleotide transfer RNA is filed under the name Bacteroidetes bacterium ADurb.Bin141. Its description in RNAcentral is "tRNA-Ser". It matches the Rfam family "tRNA". Rfam says of the family: Transfer RNA (tRNA) molecules are approximately 80 nucleotides in length. Their secondary structure includes four short double-helical elements and three loops (D, anti-codon, and T loops). Further hydrogen bonds mediate the characteristic L-shaped molecular structure. tRNAs have two regions of fundamental functional importance: the anti-codon, which is responsible for specific mRNA codon recognition, and the 3' end, to which the tRNAs corresponding amino acid is attached (by aminoacyl-tRNA synthetases). tRNAs cope with the degeneracy of the genetic code in two manners: having more than one tRNA (with a specific anti-codon) for a particular amino acid; and 'wobble' base-pairing, i.e. permitting non-standard base-pairing at the 3rd anti-codon position. RNAcentral also lists the same sequence under 1 other name. Lineage: Bacteria; Pseudomonadati; Bacteroidota. The record is from RNAcentral.
GGAGAGAUGGCAGAGUGGUUGAUUGCAGCGGUCUUGAAAACCGCCUUGGGUAACACCAACGGGGGUUCGAAUCCCUCUCUCUCCGCCA